Gasterosteus aculeatus aculeatus (three-spined stickleback) is the source of this 794-nucleotide long non-coding RNA. The record is from Ensembl. Lineage: Eukaryota; Metazoa; Chordata; Actinopteri; Perciformes; Gasterosteidae.
CACCUCUGACAAAUGCAGAGGAGAUGGCCCUGAGCCUGAAUGCUGGAAGGCCAAUGGCUGAGGGAAUUCCUGGAGGGACUUCAUCAGAGCCAGUCACUCCAGAAGAUUUAAGUGCCUUCAUAAAAUAUUCUGAUGGUAAAAUUAGUCUUUUGGAGCCUCCUGUCCCAACAGAACCACAGGCAGUUGAUGAUGGGGAUGAAGAAACAGUUUCUGCUGCCACAGAGAUGCCUACAGAGAGUGUGGAAGAACAGCAAGAGGAUGGUCCAUCAACUUCUGGUGCACAGAUGAACACAGUUCAGUGAUUUUUUUUUUUCAGUAAAUGCCACAGUUUAAUAUUGUAGAAUUUUAGAACUACAUGAUGUAACUGUAAUCUACUGUAUUUUCAGUUGCCAGUUAAGGAGUUAUAUAGACUUCUUCUUAUUAAAAAGAUAGAAAAAAACAGCAAAGAACUUGUAUACUUGGACCGCCAGAUCCAAAAGGCAGAUCUGGAAAUUGAGAUUCUGAAACUAAAGCUAGAGGUGAGUGCAUGGUCACAGGUGAAUUCUAAGUAUUGAAAAUAUAUUAAAUUCUAUUUUUUUUUUUAUGUUUAGGAAAUAAAGAACACCAUAUAAAUUGCUGUGAUUUUGUGUUUAUUCAUUUUUAUUUUAUUUUGUGGUUGGUUGGUUGUGGUGGUGGAUAUAAUGUGUAUUAAUCUGUGAAGACAUUUCGGCAUAUCAUAUCCCGGACUACCCUUCCCUCCUGGAAAUCUGCCGGGUUGAUGGGGUCUUCCUCUGGGUCUUGUAUUUGUAGGGCAG